RNAcentral lists this transfer RNA (85 nucleotides) under Felis catus (domestic cat). It matches the Rfam family "tRNA". From Rfam's summary of the family: Transfer RNA (tRNA) molecules are approximately 80 nucleotides in length. Their secondary structure includes four short double-helical elements and three loops (D, anti-codon, and T loops). RNAcentral also lists the same sequence under 3 other names. The record is from Rfam by way of RNAcentral. Lineage: Eukaryota; Metazoa; Chordata; Mammalia; Carnivora; Felidae.
GCCUAGGUGGCUCAGUCGGUUGAGCGUCUGACUUUGGCUCAGGUCAUGAUCUCAUGGUUCGUGGGUUCCAGCCCCGCAUUGGACU